AAAGUUGAGAGGAAAGAAAAAGCGUCACGUCCCUGUGGAUCCUCACCUUGAACCUCUCAGGGAUGGAAGUGGAGAAUAAAAAUUAAUCAUGCAUGUGUGCAGACUGGUAAGGAAACUGCUGGACGUACCUGAGAAGAAAAGAAGAAGCACAGUCCCGAGGAGAAUCAUGUUUGCCGUGUGUGUGUCACCGGGGGUAAAACGGGACGUGGGACGGGACUUUUUCCAGCAGCACCGCUGUGCGCCGCGCAGACAGACACCCAGCCGGCCGCUACAUUCACCGCGCUCCCUCCGUCCGUCCGUGCGCCUUUUGUUCUCUGACUGCCACGGUAAAGUCCCUCAAGUUUCAAUCCCCAGAUGGAAGGACUGAGCCGCCUGGGAGGAAUGUGUCGGAGCCAACACACACAGGCGCUGCGAGUGUGUGGCAGUGUGUGAGUGUCUGUAAGCCCAGCUUCACGGCGCGCUGCGGGGAGAAAUCCGCUUCUGGAUGGAGGACACGUCAGGCGUCACCGGGCUGCUGCUCUGCCCGCGGACAGUCAUCACGACGCGGCUCCGCUGGUGAAGAAGUCCCGCACAUUGUGCACUCAUGAUGCUCUCAGGGGAGGCAGGGGUUAUUAACUGGUGGUAUCCCUCCUCCUCCUCCUCCUCCUCUUCCUCCUCCUCCUCUUCUUCACAUCAUCACCUUGGGGACCAUUAACCAAGGGAUGGAAAUAAUUCGUGUAUUGAGGUCAUUAGAACUGAGCCGUCAUGAUGAUACCGCUUACAUUGCUUUCGUUUGAGUUUUAUUGUCAAUCUAGCCCACUGUCGCGUGUGCAAAGACAGUGAAGAAUAUUCCAGUGGACUCUGAAACUUUUGUCCCCGGCGAAAAUGAUCCUCAAAAAUAGUUAAGACAUUUUAUUUUUUUCAAUACUGCAACAGAAUCAGGGAAGUAUGUUGGUCUUUUAAAGGACAAGUUGAGAAUAGCUGCAGUUCUCCAUGCAUGUAAGUAUGAAAAAAAUCUAAAUCAUGUCAUUGUAAUUAUACAUUAAUUCAAAUUCACCCAUGGACGUGGAACUUUAGGUGCAUUUAUUUGUAGAGGGCAUUAGGAGAUUCAAUGUGCUUUACAGAUAUAAAAGAAACAUAAAGUACAGGUAAGAAGCAUUGUUUUUCGGAUAUUGAAGAGCUCAUAUCACAACAGAUCACUUUUCUCCCAAAAUAUGUGUUUCCUAUCUGUUUGGGUAUAGAACAGGAGGUAGAGCCUUCAUGCUCCCCUCCUGUGGAACCAUCUCUAAAUUUAAGGUUAAACUUAAAACACUUAUUUAUAAAGCUUAUAGUUACAGCUUGCUGGACAAUCCCUAUACCGCUAUAGGCCUAGACCGCUUGGGGACCUCCCAUCAUGCACUGAGCACUUCUCACUCUCCCUCUCUUUGUCUCUUCUCCCCCCAUUUAUUUGAGUACAUGUCACAAACUCCCCCCCCCCACCCCAUAGUCUCUCUCUCUCUCUCUCUCUCUCUCUCUCUCUCUCUCUCUCUCUCUCUCUCUCUCUCUCUCUCUCUCUCUCUCUCUCGCUGGUCGAGGCAGAUGGCCGCCCACAUUGAGUCUGGUUCUGCCAGAGGUUUCCUCCAGUCAAUGACAGAUUUGUUUUAUCUCCACAGUCACUAAAGUGCUGCUCAUUGUGGGAACUGAUAGGUUUCUCUAUCAUUUUGUAUGUUGAGAUACUGUAUGUUGCGCUACAGAAAUAUAAUUGAAUUGAAUAAAAACAAGGAAUAAAAGGAACACUAAAAUCGGUGAAACAUUAGAACUAAUUUAAGCUGUCUCUCUCUCAACGGUAUGCCAUGAUAACAAAGGGUUUUUUCCACAAGCCCUGCACCUUCACAGAGCUGAGUUGAGGGGAUGCAGAUGUGUCUGUAAUAACAGGAUAAAGAGGACUGAAUUCUGAGAAGUACCCAGAGGUGCAACUUCGGCAGUUGCAGCAUUAAGAGAUGAGUCAUCCUCUCAUAAUAUACCUUUUCUUUUUUAUUAUGCCACACAACCAUUAGUUAAAGUUUGUUUCAGGAUAAAGGCUGAAUAAAAAACACUCAAAUCACUUAACAACUAUAUUAACUUUCACAUAAUCUCUGUGAUGAUAAUCAUCUGUUAAUUGUUGACCCGGUGUGAUUUAGUUUACGUCCACAUAUAUCAGAUUAAUUUACACAUUUCUCAGCAAAACAAAAAUCGUGAAAGAAUGUCAUAGAAAUACUGUAUACACACAAACAAUUAAAGAAUAUUAUAAAGAUUGUAAUAGAUUAAGAUGACAAGAAAUGGGCGGAGACUUCCUUUGGCAGAUGACACAAAUCUGAAUUUAUCCAUGAAACCAGAUUAAAAUUAUAAGAAGGACAAACUUCAGGAAAGUCAUAAAAACAUAAUGGCCUGAAUGACCUGUGAUAUAUUUUUUACUUCCAAGUUAAGUUUUUUAAUUUUUUUAUUUCUAUUAAAUGUUUCCCCUUAGAGAAACAAUAUCUUACCUGAUGAAAUUACCUUGGCCACCAGGUUUAACCCGAAGAAGAUCACCUGGUCCCUAAAUACAGCCUCACUUGUAGUUCUUAGCGCCUGUAAGAGUAGAGAAAUGGGAGGCCUAUACAGACCUCAAGCCCACUGCUGAGGGGACUGCUCUAAGCAUGAACUGUUGUCAUAAUUACUAUAAUUAAAUGAUUUGUGCUGAUAUUACAUCUUAAAAUAUCACUAUUAUUUUGUCAUUUCAAUUGCCAGGCUGACAGUGAUUAAAUACAAAGUUUACUCCACUUCUCCUAUGCUCUCUUUCUAUUUUUCCCCUGAUUCCUAUCAACCCAACCAGUUGAGGCAGAUGCCCACGCCACCCCACCCCCACUGGGUCUGGUUCUGUCGUAGGUUUCUUCAUGUUAAAAGGGACUUUAUUUUUUCACUGUUGCUGUGUGUUCAUUGUAGGAACUGUUGCGUUGCUCUAUAACGUUGUUGCAUCUCCACCUUAACACAGGGAAACAGCCUGGUGCUGUGCAUGGUUAAAGGUUCCCUGUGCAGCUUUCUUGAACAGAGACAAAAGUUAUUUUUACAGUCAGUGUUUCUCUGUUGAAUAGUGUGACACCGUUGCUGGAACUGUCUGGCACCAACAUGUUCUAGCACAUGCAUUGGAUCCUUGUUUGACGGUGUGUGUGUGUGUGUGUGGGCACAAGAUACUACUCAUAGGGUCCAUGCAUUAAGUAUAAAUCAUUUGCAGUUAUUCACGUUGUAUAUUGAAAAAUAUUACUUUAAAGGGGGAUGUCCUACUUUCAUUGUCUUUUUGUGUACAAAUGUAAAUGUAUGGUGUAAUCGCAGUUUGCCUGCAAUGGUGUCACAUUGAAUGAAGGUGUAUAAUACAA
Molecule: long non-coding RNA, 3350 nt
Organism: Limanda limanda (common dab)
Lineage: Eukaryota; Metazoa; Chordata; Actinopteri; Pleuronectiformes; Pleuronectidae
Exons: 2
Source: RefSeq, a predicted model, not a curated record